AGAGAAAUGAGCUCGUAUUUGCGCAAAAAAUUCCAAAAUGCUUUUGGUUCCGUGGAAUCAACACAGUCCCAGAAUGCCAAAGAUGAGUUUCCGUACGAUGCUGAAACCGAUGCCUCUGACAACAACUGCAAUAAGGAAACUGAAGAGAUUGAGCGUAGUAAAGUCGGAAUCAUGAGAGCCCUUGUCGAGAAAGAAGAUCCCUCCACUAAGGUCUGCUUCCCAAUUCUUUACUUAGGAAUGUUUAUUGAACAAUUACUCUUGGCAUCACAACAUUCUAGGGCAAGAAUUAUACGUACUUUACAUAGAAAUAAAGGGAACAGAUCACCUUGGACCUACAGUCUAGCACUACUUUCCCCUUGAAUACAAUUCCUAAUUUUAGUUAGUUGGUCUUUAAUACAAUUUGCCCAUUUCCUACAUUUGAUGUUUUUCAAGGAAUCAACUUGAAAUUAUUAACUUGCUAGUAAUAGCGGAGGAACCAGGAAUUCAUUUUUCCUCUACUUAGCUCCACCAUUGGCUACCGCACGCUGUAAAAGGAAGCAGCAUUUGCCUGAUGCUUAAUCCAAAAAAGAUUCAAUUGAUUAUCUCUUCAGAAAAUUUGGGAACUAAAAAUCUCAAGUUACUAGAAAUCUCUCUUUGAGAUAACAUCUAGCCCAGUCAAAUCAUACAUAUUUCCUACAUCAACCCUUCCUUUCUCGACUUUUCCUGCUUUAUAUGCUUGUGGAUUGGAAGGAGUAGGCUUCUUUUGCUACGAUACAAAAGAUGCUGCUGCUUAUACAUAUGAGGAUAGAACCUACUUUAAUCAGUCUGAAGUGAGUUGUCCAGCUUUUGGAUUCUACUGUUUUUCGCGAUAGUCUGAUACCGGCUUUAAACUAACCACUGAUGGACCUGUGCCUGUUUAUAACCUAUCUAACUUUGGUGUUUAAACUAACUAGUGAUGGAUUUGUUCCUGGUUACUGGUUCGACCCACUUAUAAAUUAAAUAAGUAACAAGCAGCCCUAUGGACGAAGCAUCUCGUGUUCACACAAGGUUUGGUGAAGGGUCGGACAGCCCUAUGCACGAAGCAUCUCGUGUUCACACAAGGUUUGGUGAAGGGUCGGACACAAAGGGGUUAGAUCCACUUAUGUGAUUAGCUAAUUUAGCUGAUUAGCACCAGUGCUGCAUACGUGACAUUUUAACUCACACCCAUUUAACCCUCUCCAUUUGACCUGGUUAAGAAAUUGGUUACUCACUCUCACAAAAGAGAGAAGAAAACUCGUGGCCUUCCUGAUUUUCCUCACCAUUUUGUUACUAUAGCACCACCAUUGAACAGUCGCAAAACCCGCAUUGUUUUUCAGCUUCGGUGAAAUCUCAUUCUUCCACCUUCAAAUUCCAUCCACAUUUUUUUUCACAAAACAAGCAUACAAAAAUCACAGUAAUUCUUCCUUUUUGGAAAUGGCGAUGAGUGUAAGGAAAGAUAAAUGGGCACAAGCCAAAUAAUGAAAAGAAGUUGUUAAGAAUUGAACUGAAAUAACCAAAAAGAAUUCACCUCUAUUUUGGGACUAGAGCAGGCACCCAAAGUGAAAAACAUAGAAGAAGCUCAACAAGCAACGUAAAUCAAUCACAAGCAGCUAAAUUUCUAAAAUUAAAAAAAAAAAACUAAAUUUCCAAACUUUCAACCCAAAUAGGAAGAACAAACACGACAAAAUUUCCAAAUUCAACUCUAGCACCAACAGGGAACUUUGUGGGAGAAGUGAGUUUCGUAAUAGAGAUUGGCGGUACAAAAUGAUUUAUGUAGGCUGUCCAUGGAUUUGCAUGAAAUGGGAUUACAUUCGAGUUGCAUUUUAUAACUGCCAUGAUUCGGGAUGAGAAAUGAAUAAGGUUAGAAAGAUAAGUUUGACACAUGGGGAGUUUUGGUGCUAAAUCAAAUUAUUAAUAAAUGGGUGAGAAUUUAAAAAGCCAAAUUAGCAGAAUUAGCUCCAAACAUAUGCCCGUUAGCAAAUAUGGUUAUUUUUAGCCCAAAAGUUUAACGGCAAGGGUAUAUCUUAACUAAACUUCUGACGGAGGGCAAAAUCUAAAUAUUUUUACAAGGUACAAGGGUCAAUUUGGACCUUUUCCCUUAACAUAACAUAUGAAACAGUCAAUAAGAAAUAAUACUAGUAUAACUAAUUCCAAUAUAAUUAAUCUUAGUAUAACUACUCCUAGCAUAACUAAUCUCAGCAUAAUUUGUCUUCAAACCAAACGACCACUAAAUGAUAAAAUACCAAACUCUAAACCAGCCACAUUGAAAAUUCGGGUGAUAGGAAGCCACUUUCUCAUGGACAUUGCUUUGCAUUCCUUUAAAGCUUCAGGGGAUUAAACUCUGUGGAAUAAACAAGCGUGUUCAAACUGUCCUUAUUUAAGCUCCGAGUUAAGUUGGAGGCAGGUAUCUCUAUCCAUUUUUUGAUUUUACAAGAACUAUUGGUAUUUGAUACAGCAGUGUUUGUUCAACUUGUGUGAUGAUAUUUGCUUUUGAUACGGUAGUGGAUACAGCCUCUCACGGAGAGACUUCUAUUUCUUAAGACGCGGAAAAGGAGAACUGAAAAAAAGAAGGUAAUUCCAGAAGGCGCAUCUAGCUUCAAGAAACUGCUUAUAGAAAGAUCUCACGUAGUGGUUUUCUUUCUAAAAUUUGCACUUUAACGCGAGCUGCUUAGUACCCUCUUAGCAGCAACCUGCAGUCUGCAUCAACUCCACCCGGCAAAGAUAUGCAGCAUGUCACAUCUGCGCUUAAUGUCCAGUUUGCACUGAUGAAUACCACCACACAUACCAGAGAGGCAGACUAACUAGAGCGCACCAAAGAAGACAUCUCCAGAAGAUAAAUUAAUACACCUCAUAAAUCACAAACAGGACUCGUGCCAAGAGAAUUUAUAUUAAAAAAUAGAAUACAAAUUGCCAGCAAAUCUGGAAAAUGCUUAGCAAGCAGCCAGCAAAAUUAUUCGCACAAAAAUCCAUGAUCUACCCAGAACUGGUGGGCAAUUACAAAUCCAAAAUCAUAGCUCACAAAGUAGAACAUAAGGAAUUAAAGAAAUGUGUAUAUGGUUUUCGUCAAGAUCAUAUUUUGGUUCCAGCAGCUACAAUUUCCCACAAGUACAGCCUUUUUACCUACUUAACCAAUAAGUAACUUGUUCUCUUCCAGGAAACUAUAAGUAGGCACCUCCAGAUUAUAUGGUGCAGGUCCCUUGCGGAUCCUACCAGAGAUGUCAUAAUGGGAGCCGUGGCAAGGGCAAAACCAACCACCAAAAUCACCGGCAUUUGGCAAAGGAAUGCACCCAAGAUGGGUGCAUAC
This 3301-nucleotide long non-coding RNA is filed under the name Nicotiana tabacum (common tobacco). RNAcentral describes it as "long non-coding RNA (NTAB_LNC007306)". The record is from RNAcentral. Lineage: Eukaryota; Viridiplantae; Streptophyta; Magnoliopsida; Solanales; Solanaceae.